CUUACAGUUUGAAAUUUAUUACGUUGGGGUAAAUCUGGAACUCCAUGAGACAAACUCGGUCCCAGUCCAGGUUACAGAGACGCGCUGACUCCAGGGAGGAGAGAACGGCGUCUACACCGCUGGUUUCUCCGCCUCAGCCACGGGCACCGGUGAAGACCUGAGACCACCCCCCUGCCCUCAAGGACACAGGCGAAAGGAGGCCACACACCUCGGGGCCGCCGCCAAACUGCGUCCCAUUCCCCCUGGUUUACGGGGUGAAAAAAACGCAGAGCGCGCCAACAGGAGAGAAAGUAGCCUGAUUUUUGUUCCUGAGGCCCUGACUCUGAACGGGAGAUUCCAAGAGGGGAAGGUAACCAGGCUGGACUAGAACACGCUGGGAUCACAGCUGUCUCCUGGGAGAUUCAGCAGCCAGAACAGACUAAGAUAAGCUUACUGCUACAAGCAACAAAUGGACGGAUUUCAUUGACACUUACAUGAAAAGAAGCCAGACAUAAAAGAGUCUGUAUUCUGCUGGUUUCAUACAUGUGAUAUUCAAGCAUGAGCAAAACUAAUCUGUUACCUGGGGAAGGAAGUGCAGACACUGACUGCAAAGGGACGUGAGAAAACUCUUCUGGGUGCUGGAAAUAUUCCAUCUUGAUCUGGGUGACGGGCACAUACACUUGUGUGUGUGUACUUAGUUGUGUGCUUAAGAUCUUUGCACAUAUAAACAUCACUACACAAUAAAGAUAUCUUUGCAAAAUAAAAUUUAA
RNAcentral lists this long non-coding RNA (749 nucleotides) under Equus caballus (horse). RNAcentral's name for it is "lncRNA (ENSECAG00000055404.1)". The record is from RNAcentral. Lineage: Eukaryota; Metazoa; Chordata; Mammalia; Perissodactyla; Equidae.